RNAcentral lists this ribosomal RNA (491 nucleotides) under uncultured bacterium. Its description in RNAcentral is "partial 16S ribosomal RNA". It matches the Rfam family "Bacterial small subunit ribosomal RNA", at positions 30 to 507 of the family's 1533-position model. The record is from RNAcentral.
AUUGAACGCUGGCGGCAUGCUUUACACAUGCAAGUCGAACGGUAACAGGCCUUCGGGUGCUGACGAGUGGCGAACGGGUGAGUAAUGCAUCGGAACGUACCCAGAGGUGGGGAUAACGCAGCGAAAGCUGUGCUAAUACCGCAUGUGAUCUGAGGAUGAAAGCGGGGGACCGAGCAGCCAUGUUUUGCCUCGCGCCUUUGGAGCGGCCGAUGUCGGAUUAGCUAGUUGGUGGGGUAAAGGCCUACCAAGGCGACGAUCCGUAGCUGGUCUGAGAGGACGACCAGCCACACUGGGACUGAGACACGGCCCAGACUCCUACGGGAGGCAGCAGUGGGGAAUUUUGGACAAUGGGCGCAAGCCUGAUCCAGCAAUGCCGCGUGCGGGAAGAAGGCCUUCGGGUUGUAAACCGCUUUUGGCAGGAACGAAACGGUGUCCGCUAAUACCGGGCGCUAAUGACGGUACCUGCAGAAUAAGCACCGGCUAACUACGUG